GUAGGUGGCAAGCGUUGUCCGGAAUUAUUGGGCGUAAAGCGCGCGCAGGCGGUUCUUUAAGUCUGAUGUGAAAGCCCACGGCUCAACCGUGGAGGGUCAUUGGAAACUGGAGAACUUGAGUACAGAAGAGGAAAGCGGAAUUCCACGUGUAGCGGUGAAAUGCGUAGAGGAUGUGGAGGAACACCAGUGGCGAAGGCGGCUUUCUGGUCUGUAACUGACGCUGAGGCGCGAAAGCGUGGGGAGCAAACAGGGAUUAGAUACCCUGGUAGUCCACGCCGUAAACGAUGAGUGCUAAGUGUAGGGGGUUUCCGCCCCUUAGUGCUGCAGCUAACGCAUUAAGCACUCCGCCUGGGGAGUACGGCCGCAAGGCUG
This 372-nucleotide ribosomal RNA is filed under the name uncultured organism. Its description in RNAcentral is "partial 16S ribosomal RNA". It matches the Rfam family "Bacterial small subunit ribosomal RNA", at positions 527 to 896 of the family's 1533-position model. The record is from RNAcentral.